This 319-nucleotide long non-coding RNA is filed under the name Cucumis sativus (cucumber). RNAcentral's name for it is "long non-coding RNA (CSAT_LNC002250)". The record is from RNAcentral. Lineage: Eukaryota; Viridiplantae; Streptophyta; Magnoliopsida; Cucurbitales; Cucurbitaceae.
GAAAAUGUAAUUCGUGGAAUUGAAUUUUGUAUAUUGAUUUGUACAUUGAUUUGUACAGUGGAUACAAUCUCUAGUAUUUAUUCAUAUCAUGUUUUCUCUCAAAUACAAAUUAAAACUUAUAACUUUUUUAUCUUCGGUCUUCCGAAAGUUGUACUUGUAAGUCUAUUUGAGUCUUCAAUCUUUUGGAAUUCAAGAAAAGUUUGAUCUUUCAAGUCUUCAAUCUUUCAGAAGAUGAUGAUCUCGAAGUUGAUAAGAAUUAACACGUCUUGAGAGCUUUUAGAAGUUUGAGUCUUCAAUUUUUUUAGAGCUUCAAUUCUUU